GCCCGCAUAGGGUAGCCAGGAUAUCCUGGGGGCUUGCGGAGCCCUCGACUCGGGUUCGAAUCCCGGUGCGGGCA
Molecule: transfer RNA, 74 nt
Filed under: Candidatus Altarchaeales archaeon
Lineage: Archaea; Nanobdellati; Candidatus Altarchaeota; Candidatus Altarchaeia; Candidatus Altarchaeales
Also listed under: 1 other name
Description: tRNA-Arg
Rfam family: tRNA
About the family: Transfer RNA (tRNA) molecules are approximately 80 nucleotides in length. Their secondary structure includes four short double-helical elements and three loops (D, anti-codon, and T loops).
Source: RNAcentral